Molecule: long non-coding RNA, 1281 nt
Filed under: Sorghum bicolor (sorghum)
Lineage: Eukaryota; Viridiplantae; Streptophyta; Magnoliopsida; Poales; Poaceae
Description: long non-coding RNA (SBIC_LNC000561)
Source: RNAcentral
CCUACAUGAAAGUGUGAUACUCUAGUAUAUCAAAACUACCGUGUGCUAGUUUUUUAUGUUAAAUGCUUUAGAGACAACUUAUGUAAUUUUCUAGAGAAAUUAGGUAUUUUUUGUUUUAUUUUUGGCCAAGAGAUCCGAUAAACCCGUUUAUCGGUGACCUCUGGUAUUUUUUUUUUGCUACCGUAAAGUGAGCUGUUAUAAUGUCUGCAUUUCAUACAUCAAUGAGAUUAUCACAAAAUGAAAAUUAGUUUGAGAGUUUUUUUUUGGAAAAAACACCGUUUCUCCCCCUCCCUUUGUUAUAAUAUUCUUUAACAAAUAAGUGGCCUACUGUCUUUCCAAACAAAAAAGCUACACACGAAGACGAUGCGAGAAGGGUCACAAUUAACAAAGGUGCUUGAGAUGGAUGGUGUGAGUGUAAGCAAUGAACGAAUGGACAAGGCAUGGACAUUUGUUGGGAUAAUAAUAAAUGGAGAACUUGGAGACUUCGUUAUCCAUCGGCAUGGGCAUGGGCUUCACUAGCAAGGCGAUCCUCUCUCGCCCAUAUCAUUUAUUUUGGUGCCAAGCUACCCUGGAGGAUUUCCUAUAGCCAUUAGUAGUAUAACAAGCUCGGCAUCGUAUCUCCUUCUAUGCUAAUUGUUUGGUGGUGUUCAUGCGGCCAAACGUUAAUGGUCUCUCUCCCCCUACUUGCUUGGAAAGUUGGGAUCUUUUGGCCGGGUUAGUGCAGUGGUAACAUAAUAGUGCAAAGAGCUCAGUUACACUUAUCCUUGUAACUGACCUAAUAUGCAGAGGAGGACAAGAGUUGGUGCCUAGCUUCUUUGCAUGUGAGAUCAAGGACUUCCUUGUACUUGUUUUGAUCUACAACAUUAAAGAUCAUGAUUGAAUUGGCCCCUAACUUUUUUCUAAGCUGUUCCUAAGUGGGUCAUCAAGCGGCAUAUAAAGGGCUGGACCCGACUAGUUUGGAUCUUUGACAUAAAAAAGGUGCAAGGUCUGGUUCCUACAAUACCAUUUUCCUUGGUCCCAUCCUGUUUGCUCUCCAUGGAAGCGAAUUUGAAGAUCAUGGCCUCUUCUUAGUGUAAGUUAUUUAUUUGGCUACAGUAAAUUAAAAACAAUCAUUAUGCCCUAUUCACUUGGCUGAAAAGCCAUAGCUAAAAGUCUUAUUCGCUGAUUUAUUGUGAGAGAAAAAUAUUGUUAAAUAGCUAGCAAAUUUGACAGAUAAGUUGUUGCGUUGUUGGCUGCCUGACCAGCUUGCUAAGAGAAGACUGAGCAACCAGGACAUCCCCC